RNAcentral lists this ribosomal RNA (492 nucleotides) under uncultured bacterium. Its description in RNAcentral is "partial 16S ribosomal RNA". It matches the Rfam family "Bacterial small subunit ribosomal RNA", at positions 29 to 507 of the family's 1533-position model. The record is from RNAcentral.
AGUGAACGCUGGCGGUAGGCCUAACACAUGCAAGUCGAACGGCAGCACAGUAAGAGCUUGCUCUUACGGGUGGCGAGUGGCGGACGGGUGAGGAAUACAUCGGAAUCUACUUUUUCGUGGGGGAUAACGUAGGGAAACUUACGCUAAUACCGCAUACGACCUACGGGUGAAAGCAGGGGAUCUUCGGACCUUGCGCGAUUGAAUGAGCCGAUGUCGGAUUAGCUAGUUGGCGGGGUAAAGGCCCACCAAGGCGGCGAUCCGUAGCUGGUCUGAGAGGAUGAUCAGCCACACUGGAACUGAGACACGGUCCAGACUCCUACGGGAGGCAGCAGUGGGGAAUAUUGGACAAUGGGCGCAAGCCUGAUCCAGCCAUACCGCGUGGGUGAAGAAGGCCUUCGGGUUGUAAAUCCCUUUUGUUGGGAAAGAAAAGCAGCAGGUUAAUACCCCGCUGUUCUGACGGUACCCAAAGAAUAAGCACCGGCUAACUUCGUG